CGACCUUCUCAAUCUAAGCCCAGCGUCUUCUCAACCUCCACCACUUGUAAGGAGCGCGGACUUCAACUCCCAGAAUUCCCCGGCCCGCCCCGUUCUAGAACCCGGAUGAGGAGUUUUGUCUCCUCCUCCUCCUCCUCCUCCUCUGGCCCCCAGGGGGCGGGGAAAGAAUUCUCGGCGCGUGACGUCAUCACCAUGACAACCUGCCAACUGUAAGGCAACUGCCUCGCCCGCCAGUUGCAAUUGGAGCAAAGCCCCGCGAAGGGUUGGAGGGCAGCAGAGACCACGCCCCCCCAAAAUAAUAAUCAUAAUCAUAAUAAUAAUAAUCCAUAGUCUUUGCAUUGUGUUUUCUUUGCUCCUGAGAGCUGGUUGCGUGCUGCGAGGCCCUCCAUGGAAGCGCCUUGGGUGGAGGAGGUGGCGGCGUCUUUAGUGCGAGAGUUCCUGAGCAGAAAGGGCUUAAAGAAGACAAGUACCAUGAUGGACAAAGAAUUUCCCCGCACCGCCCUCAGCAUCAACAACAGGAACGAGCUCCGAAAUGUUUUGCACCUCCAGUCUUUGUACAAACAAAACAAGCCAUCAAUCAUCGUUAUAGAAUGACGGAAGGCAUUUUGAAGGAAAGAAUGAGAAAUGCUAUGAAGCGUCUCCAAGAACAGGAAGAACUAUCAAGACUUCGCAAAGUAACAACUUCAAUGGCAGUUGUUGGUUUUUGGUCAACUAAACAUCAGCCAUGAAAAUGGUCCGGGUGAUGAAGACUUCAAGCUGACCAAUCACUGUAAGGCUGAUGCAACUCUUCAUCUGAUAGAAUAAGAACGAAUCGGCGUUGGUUUGAGCAGUUUAAGACUGAUGGGGUGGUCCACACAAUUUUUUAAGAGGUUAUAAAUUUUAGCCAGGAGAGGGCGUGUUCUUUCCUUGGAGUCAUUCGUUCAGUCCACUUGUUAGAGGAAUAAAGGUUUCCACUGUCCCGUCUUCAGAUUCUCAGCCAAGUUUGCCAUAGAGAGUGUUUCGUCAAAAUGACUGAACAGCUUUUGAUAAAAAGACAUUUGAUGGAACAACGAAAACUUAUAGAGAGUCUUCAAAAUAAAAUAAAAUUCCAGCAAGAAGAGCUAAAGAAGGCGAAAGAACAGGAUUUUAAGAAAUCAAUGAUAAUCGCUAGAAAAACAAGAUCAAUUUCAAAUUUGAUGUCGGAGAGAGAAAAGUUCCUCCAUGAGAAACAGGAGCUUGUACGACUCAGUCUCCAGUUGGAAGGAGACAAAGAAGUAUUUAGGGAACAGUUUGAAGAAGAACAGAGAAGAAAAAAAACCAUCGGAGCCACCAUCCUUGCUGGAUUGUUCCUGGUUACUCUCUAUGUAUCUUUUGGGCUGUACUGGGUGUUAAAUGAUUGAGGCCUCAGGCCUUAACAAUUUUCCACGACGAGGAAGAAAAAGCUGUCGUUAUUAGAGCCAUCUCACCAUUGAUGCAACCUCGUCGGCUAACGAAACAUCCGGAAAAGGAACCAGGUCCAGAGAACACCAAAGGACCCUAUGGCUCAAUCCUGACCCUGAGAUUGUCUUAUAUUUGAUAUUCUCCUGAAAAUACAUUUUUUUUUCUUUUUUAAAAAAGAGGAAUUUAUAUAUUAUUUCCUAUGUGGCAAGUUAAUGCUGCUCUUCCAUUUUUUUCAACAAUUGUUGAAAACUAUAUAAUAAUAUAUAUUGAUUUAAUUUGAAUUUUUGGUCUAAAGCUAGAAGUGAAUACUGCCAUUGGUAUAAUGUCUCUCCCAUCUACUGCUUCUAGUAUUAC
Long non-coding RNA from Ahaetulla prasina, 1773 nucleotides. RefSeq lists it as uncharacterized. Lineage: Eukaryota; Metazoa; Chordata; Lepidosauria; Squamata; Colubridae. The record is from RefSeq and is a predicted model, not a curated record. The transcript has 9 exons.